Molecule: ribosomal RNA, 497 nt
Filed under: uncultured bacterium
Lineage: Bacteria
Description: partial 16S ribosomal RNA
Rfam family: Bacterial small subunit ribosomal RNA
Source: RNAcentral
GAUGAACGCUGGCGACGUGCCUAAUACAUGCAAGUCGAGCGAACAGAUAAGGAGCUUGCUCCUUUGGCGUUAGCGGCGGACGGGUGAGUAACACGUGGGUAACCUACCUAUAAGACUGGGAUAACUUCGGGAAACCGGAGCUAAUACCGGAUAACAUUUGGAACCGCAUGGUUCUAAAGUGAAAGAUGGUUUUGCUAUCACUUAUAGAUGGACCCGCGCCGUAUUAGCUAGUUGGUAAGGUAACGGCUUACCAAGGCGACGAUACGUAGCCGACCUGAGAGGGUGAUCGGCCACACUGGAACUGAGCCACGGUCCAGACUCCUACGGGAGGCAGCAGUAGGGAAUCUUCCGCAAUGGGCGAAAGCCUGACGGAGCAACGCCGCGUGAGUGAUGAAGGGUUUCGGCUCGUAAAACUCUGUUAUUAGGGAAGAACAAAUGUGUAAGUAACUGUGCACGUCUUGACGGUACCUAAUCAGAAAGCCACGGCUAACUACGUG